GAGUCUUUCCGCAACUGACGGAAUUAAGGUGGUUUACCACCGGGGAGCGGAAGGUUUGUAGAAAUGUCGACCGUCUGGGCGCUGUGC
RNAcentral lists this non-coding RNA (87 nucleotides) under Deltaproteobacteria bacterium. Its description in RNAcentral is "ZTP sequence". It matches the Rfam family "ZMP/ZTP riboswitch aptamer (pfl RNA motif)". From Rfam's summary of the family: Previously known as pfl RNA. ZMP is also known as AICAR. The record is from RNAcentral. Lineage: Bacteria; Pseudomonadati; Myxococcota; Myxococcia.